GGUGUCGACACCAGUCAGCGAGUUUCGCCCAUUGGUGCAAUAC
RNAcentral lists this small RNA (43 nucleotides) under marine eukaryotic metagenome. RNAcentral's name for it is "ffh sRNA". It matches the Rfam family "ffh sRNA", at positions 11 to 50 of the family's 52-position model. The record is from RNAcentral.